CCCAACGUUUCGGCACAAAUGGCCUUUGUCAAAUGGCCUUUGUCACCCUUGACAAAGGCCAUUUGUGCCGAAAUGUUGGG
Non-coding RNA from Pelobates cultripes (western spadefoot toad), 80 nucleotides. Lineage: Eukaryota; Metazoa; Chordata; Amphibia; Anura; Pelobatidae. The record is from the annotation of a GenBank genome assembly.